GGUGAAAAGCACCCCGGAAGGGGAGUGAAAUAGAACCUGAAACCGUGUGCUUACAAGUAGUCAGAGCCCGUUAAUGGGUGAUGGCGUGCCUUUUGUAGAAUGAACCGGCGAGUUACGAUUUGAUGCAAGGUUAAGCAGUAAAUGUGGAGCCGUAGCGAAAGCGAGUCUGAAUAGGGCGUUUAGUAUUUGGUCGUAGACCCGAAACCAGGUGAUCUACCCUUGGUCAGGUUGAAGUUCAGGUAACACUGAAUGGAGGACCGAACCGACUUACGUUGAAAAGUGAGCGGAUGAACUGAGGGUAGCGGAGAAAUUCCAAUCGAACCUGGAGAUAGCUGGUUCUCUCCGAAAUAGCUUUAGGGCUAGCCUCAAGUGAUGAUUAUUGGAGGUAGAGCACUGUUUGGACGAGGGGCCCCUCUCGGGUUACCGAAUUCAGACAAACUCCGAAUGCCAAUUAAUUUAACUUGGGAGUCAGAACAUGGGUGAUAAGGUCCGUGUUCGAAAGGGAAACAGCCCAGACCACCAGCUAAGGUCCCAAAAUAUAUGUUAAGUGGAAAAGGAUGUGGCGUUGCCCAGACAACUAGGAUGUUGGCUUAGAAGCAGCCAUCAUUUAAAGAGUGCGUAAUAGCUCACUAGUCGAGUGACACUGCGCCGAAAAUGUACCGGGGCUAAACAUAUUACCGAAGCUGUGGAUUGUCCUUUGGACAAUGGUAGGAGAGCGUUCUAAGGGCGUUGAAGCAUGAUCGUAAGGACAUGUGGAGCGCUUAGAAGUGAGAAUGCCGGUGUGAGUAGCGAAAGACGGGUGAGAAUCCCGUCCACCGAUUGACUAAGGUUUCCAGAGGAAGGCUCGUCCGCUCUGGGUUAGUCGGGUCCUAAGCUGAGGCCGACAGGCGUAGGCGAUGGAUAACAGGUUGAUAUUCCUGUACCACCUAUAAUCGUUUUAAUCGAUGGGGGGACGCAGUAGGAUAGGCGAAGCGUGCGAUUGGAUUGCACGUCUAAGCAGUAAGGCUGAGUAUUAGGCAAAUCCGGUACUCAUUAAGGCUGAGCUGUGAUGGGGAGAAGACAUUGUGUCUUCGAGUCGUUGAUUUCACACUGCCGAGAAAAGCCUCUAGAUAGAAAAUAGGUGCCCGUACCGCAAACCGACACAGGUAGUCAAGAUGAGAAUUCUAAGGUGAGCGAGCGAACUCUCGUUAAGGAACUCGGCAAAAUGACCCCGUAACUUCGGGAGAAGGGGUGCUCUUUAGGGUUAACGCCCAGAAGAGCCGCAGUGAAUAGGCCCAAGCGACUGUUUAUCAAAAACACAGGUCUCUGCUAAACCGUAAGGUGAUGUAUAGGGGCUGACGCCUGCCCGGUGCUGGAAGGUUAAGAGGAGUGGUUAGCUUCUGCGAAGCUACGAAUCGAAGCCCCAGUAAACGGCGGCCGUAACUAUAACGGUCCUAAGGUAGCGAAAUUCCUUGUCGGGUAAGUUCCGACCCGCACGAAAGGCGUAACGAUUUGGGCACUGUCUCAACGAGAGACUCGGUGAAAUCAUAGUACCUGUGAAGAUGCAGGUUACCCGCGACAGGACGGAAAGACCCCGUGGAGCUUUACUGUAGCCUGAUAUUGAAAUUCGGCACAGCUUGUACAGGAUAGGUAGGAGCCUUUGAAACGUGAGCGCUAGCUUACGUGGAGGCGCUGGUGGGAUACUACCCUAGCUGUGUUGGCUUUCUAACCCGCACCACUUAUCGUGGUGGGAGACAGUGUCAGGCGGGCAGUUUGACUGGGGCGGUCGCCUCCUAAAAGGUAACGGAGGCGCUCAAAGGUUCCCUCAGAAUGGUUGGAAAUCAUUCAUAGAGUGUAAAGGCAUAAGGGAGCUUGACUGCGAGACCUACAAGUCGAGCAGGGUCGAAAGACGGACUUAGUGAUCCGGUGGUUCCGCAUGGAAGGGCCAUCGCUCAACGGAUAAAAGCUACCCCGGGGAUAACAGGCUUAUCUCCCCCAAGAGUUCACAUCGACGGGGAGGUUUGGCACCUCGAUGUCGGCUCAUCGCAUCCUGGGGCUGUAGUCGGUCCCAAGGGUUGGGCUGUUCGCCCAUUAAAGCGGUACGCGAGCUGGGUUCAGAACGUCGUGAGACAGUUCGGUCCCUAUCCGUCGUGGGCGUAGGAAAUUUGAGAGGAGCUGUCCUUAGUACGAGAGGACCGGGAUGGACAUACCUCUGGUGUACCAGUUGUCGUGCCAACGGCAUAGCUGGGUAGCUAUGUGU
Molecule: ribosomal RNA, 2239 nt
Filed under: Staphylococcus aureus
Lineage: Bacteria; Bacillati; Bacillota; Bacilli; Caryophanales; Staphylococcaceae
Description: partial 23S ribosomal RNA
Rfam family: Bacterial large subunit ribosomal RNA
Source: RNAcentral